ACUGCCUAUAAAACACAAACCAAAGCAAAAAAAGGCAUGAGGCUGCAGUGAGUUUGGAACACACAGAAGCCUAAUUCCAGCAGAUACACUUUCAGAAGGGUCCCCAGACGAUGCUUAUGAAGGGGAAUUAAAUGCUUUAGAUCAUGAGUAUGUGAAUAACCAAAUACCACCAAGUAAAUCAGUCUGUCCUCCUUUGCAAGGACACCUCACCUCUCUUCAGGAAGGAUGCUGAAAGGUUUAUCAUCUCCAAGUGUUGACACCUGCAACUUUAAAUCUCAAUGGAACAGAAAUUGCAAAAAAAAAAAUUUUGACAGAUUAUUCCAGAGAGUGUCAGUUUUAUAUCUAAAGCUGAUUAAGAACAAAAGAUCUUAGAUAACAUGUAAUUAGACAUUUAUGGAAGCUUCAGCUAUUAAAGAUUAAACAAACAAAACAUAAAUACCCUCCUGGCACUGUAGUGCCUUACCUUUUCAAAGUUAGAACAUAGAAAGCUUUACUUAAACACAGACUUCAAAAAAACCCCUACAUUUCUAAACAAAUGUGACACCAAAUACCUGUUUAAACAAAUACAUCUCCUUUCCCAAAGGAAACAAAGUUUAUUUAGCCAUUAUCCUUUUAUUUAUUUAUCCAUACAUUUUGUGUUUGAAAGUCCAUUAAGAAAUGCUCAUUUUUCACAAAGAGAAUUUAAUGCAAAACAUAAUUAAAACAUUACUCGAGCUCUUCUGCUUGUUUAUGUCAUGCAUGAAUUUUCCAUUUUUUUCUCCAAAGUAAUUCAUGUCUUUUACCUUCUAGAAUCAACAUUUAUCUCCAUAAACUGCAAAAGUGUGAUGCUGGCAGGCUGAUGUCACCUGGUAAUACUUUCCACUUCACCACAACUUAAGCCAAGUGGGAACUCAAGAUUACAAAGUGAGAUCCCAACAGCCCACGUUCCAAAGUGUUUCAAGCAGGAAAGCUGUGGCCAUCCUAAAAGAUCUUUAUUUCUGCCAUUUCCUGAGGCCAAGGUCUGCGCUCACAUCCAUGAUGUAUGUGACAGUACUGGAGGAUAGAGAGAUCUCCUUUUCUAGAUCUCCAAUCCAAAUUUACUCUUCCUGUGUUGAACUUGGUGAGUUUUGGGUUCGUUGUUUGGAGUUUUGAGUUUUUGGUAUGUAGAUAAAUGCCUAAAAUGCAGUUGAAGUCCAAGGCAAUUUGGCACCUGUUUUAUGAGCCCUUGGGGGAUCACCAAGAUCUUUAGCACACCCACCCAAGAAAUUGCUCCUGUCCCUUUUUAGCAUCCACACAGUUACAGUUGACUCAGUUAAGCUCUGAAUUGUGCCUUUCCAGCAGAAUUACAAGGGGGAAAAAACAAAGAUACCUUGUAUCCAAAGUCAGGCAGUGCAGAUGCAUCCCAGUGACUAGGACAGGUCUGAUUUGGAAUAGAAGAAUCCCUUUGGCUGCUUGCAAACAGACAGAAAAUGAAGUGUUAGUAAUUCUAGUACUGCUCCAAACACUCAAAUUUGGAUCAUCCACUUUGGCCAAUUCCUGCAUUUAAAAAUGAACAAAACACAACUACAGCCAGCACCCAUUUUGCCUUAUGAUUACUUUUAAAAUAUGAAAAAACAAACUAAGGAGCACUUACCCUGUCUUUAUCUUCUGCACAUCUUCAGAAGACACAAAUUUUGGUCGCCUGCAAACCUGUCUUCGAGUUUUAAAACUGAUGUUUGUCUGAGUCAUUUCUUGAGGAGAAAAAAGUGAAGAGAAAAAAAAGUCAUGAGUAAGUCUACAAGACAGGGUCAUCUUGUCCUCAUCAGUUCUUCUUUAAUGAAAACUGCAUAUUUUGCAUAUUCUUUAAUGAAAACUGCACAUUCACUGUCAAUUCCACCUGCUGAGGAGCAGUUGCACAAAGGCUUCUCUGUAACUCUGUGAUUGACCCUGUGCCUAUCCUGCUUGCACCCUCAAGCCACUCAAUGCUCUUUAAACAUUGCUACAGCAGCACAAAGAUGCCCAACUUGUAUUUUUUACCAUCCACAGUGUUACUUACUUUCCUUAAAGUUUACUAUGACUUUAUGUGAAGACUAUGAACCUUUAUAUUUCUGGUCAGAUUUCUGGUGAGUCUGGAGAGUGUCAAGGAACAAGGGGAGAAGGUUACUUUUGUGAGGAAUUUGCUCUGGGCCAGCACUACCUCACUUCCAGUAAGUGAAACCGGUGGUGUCAGGAAAGGAAGGGAGACUUUGCAAGAGUCUGUAAAGCACUGCAUAGUUGUAGAUGAGAAUCUCUAAAAUUACUACCUUUAAAAUUGAGUUCAUACUGAUGUUGGCCAGCUUGGAAAGGUACAAUGGCACAUGGAUCUGCUUGAUACAAAUUCUCAAUAAUAGCAGAAGAUGGUGAGGUCGUGCUGUUCCCUUCUUCCUUUGUGGGGAGAAAAGAAAUACAGAGAAUGAGCAGAAUCACACUCAGGACUAAACCCUGAAUAACUAGCUAGGGUAGAAGGAAAGAAGAGGCCAAGUGUAGGAUGACAAGGAAUCUACCCAGAACUGAGGCUGAGUACUGAAUAUUUGUAACAUAAACACAAAUACGCAAUUAGAAAUUUUAAAUUUUUGUAACAAGUUGUGCUGGUUCUGGCUGGGGUAGAGUUAAAUUUCUUCCCAGUAGCUGGUAGUGGCUGUGUUUUGGAUUUGUGCUGGAACAGUGCUGAUAGCACAGGGAUGUUUUAGUUAUUAUUUAGCUUAGGCAUGCACAGAGCCAAGGCCUUUUCUGCUCCUCUCCCACCCCACCAGUGCUGGGCCUGGGGGGCACAAGGCCUUGGGAGGAUACACAUCCAGGAGAGCUGACCCCAGCUGGCCACAGGGACAUCCCAGACCGUGAGGUGUCACUCCUGUGCACAAAGCUGGGGGAAGGAGGAAGGGAGAGACAUUUGGAUUGAUGGAGUUUGUUUUCCCAAGAGACUGUGACCUGUGAUGGAGCCCAGCUUUCUUGGGAUGGCUGAGCACCUGCCUGUCCAAGGGAAGAGGGGAAUGGAUGCCUUGUUUUGCCUUGCUUGUUCACACACUUUUGCUUUAUCUUUUAGUGUUUUUCUCAUCCCACCAGCUUUCUCUCUGCCCAGUGCCUCAGCAGGGAAGGGGGCAAGGCUGAGCUGCAACCGGCUGUGAUGGGUACACAACUCCUUAUCAAACCACAGUUAGUUUGGUUCAGGCUCCAAAGGAAGCAAAGACCUAGGCCAAGAACUUUUCUAGCUCCAACCUGCUAUCUGAAAACCCACAAAGGAACAGGGUGACAUGGUGAGAGCAUUGAUGCAUAUGAGCUUGGAAACAAACACUGAUGAUGUGAUUAAUGCAUGAAUAGCAGAUGGUUUUCCAAGACUAAUUUGCCAAGGAACAAAGUAAGUUGCAGGUGUAAGGAGUCUCACUCUUACCUUUUACUCUGCUUGUGAUUGAACUAUGAGCCAACCACUUCAUUCCACAGACAGGAAAGCCUGAGUGAGCUCCUUGCAAGCUGUCCCUGCUAAAGAGCAGCUGGACAGCUGUGAUCUCUCCUGGACCUGGGUGACUCCUGGAGGUUGAGUACUCUUUGGGGUUACUCUGAGUCUUUUAAACUGCACUCUAUCCAGCACCUUUCUCUGUGUACUUUUCCAAGUCCCUGGAUCACCUUUGUGUUCCACCAUUUGUGCUGCUAUACUGUAAACCAUAUGGUAUAAACUCAUCUGCCUUUGUUUUCCUGCAUUUUUCAGAUAGAUUACUUUCUCAUGAGGACUUGGACAUACAUGGAAAAAGACUGCAUUUGAUCUGAGAAAGCAGAGCAAUCCUUGCACGUCCAAGGGCAUUGCUUAGAAAAGAGGCAACUUCUUCCUAUGUCUAUUAAGAGCAGUGUCUAUAUGUUAAAUCUGUAGGAGCUAUGGACUACUCCAAAAGGGAGCUCUCUUUCCUCCAGCCUGUCAGCAUUUUAUCACAUCUGUAAUGAACAGGUGUAGCUUCACUGCCUUACCCAACGCUGUAAAAUUCAAGCAGAAGGACUCAACUAAUCCUGUUGAGAAAAGGGGAGAGGGUGCAGAGAGGCUCCACAUAUUCCUGAACAAGUGACUGAAAGCACAGGAUGUGAACUCACCUGCUCUCCAUAUUCAAUCCACUCGUUUUGGUUAUUCUUCCAGUACCAAAUCCACUGUGUGGUCAGCAGGAAUGUGGGUUUUGUGACUGAUGAUGGUGUAGAGAGGCGUCGAACCAAAGAAGAAGAGCAGGUCAUUGUCUGGAAAUUAAUGUUCUUACUUGGGAAGCUGUAAGGACAAAUUCAGGUUUAUUAUAGUUAGCAGUGCAUAUUUUAUCCUGUCAUCCCCAGUUUAGUGCCAUUUUCUUUAAUAUAAAGUAACCAAACUUAAUGAGAUCUGACAUAGGAGUAUUUAUUUCCCACAGCACAUGGCAGCUCUGAAAGCCAUCUCCAAGCUUCAGAAGUGAACUCUGGCCUGUGAGACACCAAAGGCCACCUCAGUCACAUGUGGCACUGCCAGCUUUACAAUGUCAGGCUCCAAGUACAGUGUGGCAAAAGGAACUUCUGUGAUAACCAAGCGUGGUUCCAGUCUUUCUCAGUACAUAAGCAGAAUGUGCAAAGUGUGUGACUGAAUUUGCCAGCAAUCACCUGCAGCCUAUCAACUUUGUUCUUUUUCUGUGGUUACCAAGGAUAAAUCACAGCAACCAGAGCUGUGAGUUCUGCAAACUGCAUUCAUCACUGGAGCCACCUGGGCUCUUACUCCUGCAAGGCUUGAAAAAUUAAUUCCCAGGCAGGAAGAUUUUGAUGGCAGCCUCCUCUUGGGAAUAUUGCUUGUGAUCUCCAGAAAACUGCCAAUCAAAAUCAUCUGGUGCCUUAAGAGGCACGGGCCAAAACUAGAAUACCAUUUUGUGAAGCCAAACUUGGGGUGCCCUAUGAAUCCAGGUCGCUUUGAGUGGGACUUUUCAAAAAGGAGCUAAAAGGAAAACACACUCUUAAAAUAGAAAUAAAAAAGAAGAAAAAAUAAAUGGGCUGCUUACACAAAGGACAUUUCAUAAAAUGUCUCUAGGUAUGUAAUAUAUCACUAUUAUUGUUAUUAUAGAUACUAGCUGUAGUAGGAAAGAAAUAGCUAUACAGAAGGACCAGCUCUGAAAUGUUGUCAAAAGGCCCAACUUCAUUACUGCAAAUAAACUGAUUAGUGAUCUGAAAUACUACAAUUUUAAACACUGGCUUUUUACUUUGUACAGAGUUUUACAUGCAAGAUAAAGUUUUGUUAUUUUUAGAAGACAAAACUGGAGUGGGAUUUUCAUGCAAUCAUUCUUUCUUUGCUUUUUUAAAAGGAAAAAUUCUUAUUUUUACAUGCUUCCAGCUUCUGAGAGGCUCAGUAACCAGAAGCUGAGAAGUCAGACACCUUUAGGAAGAAAACACAAGUUUUCCUACACAGGCUCAAUCACAAUACUCCAAUCAAGGAGUCCAGCAUUACUACACCUGCUGUUCUUUGGGUCACAAUAGGCCUUUUCAAUUUCCUCCAUCAUGGAAAGUGUAUUCCAGUUCAAUCCAUCGUGUAUCUCCCAUUUAUAUGGCAAAUGGUAAUGAACAGAUUUGCAUUUAUCUGUAACGAAAUCAGACAUAGUCAAGAAUUCUGCAGUCAUUAACACAGAGAGCAAGACAAGAAAAAACCAAAACAGAACCAGCAUCUUUUACACUUUGAGGCUUUCUCUCCUGGGCUUUGGUAUAAGGAAUGAAGAGAGAGUGCUGAAAACAGAAGGAGAGUGUGUUUCUGCAGUCUCAUCAAGAAAAGCAACAUCAUAUACACAUACAUAUAUAUAUAUAUAUAUACACACUGCCAAAUUUAUUUGAAAGACACCUGUAGUGGUUUUGGUUCACUAAUUUGAGAUUUUUUUGAUUAAUGUACUAAUUAGUGUGGUGGGUUUAGUGUCGGUUAAUUACUAGUGCAUUUACUAGAAUGUAUGGAUUUAUUUUUUGUUGUGAGAGAAUUAGGAGAAAAGUAAAAUAAGCUCAAAAUUUUAAAAGGGUAUAAAGAAAAAUUUAUUAAUAGUAACUAAAAGAAAAAGUAGUAAGAAUCAGAACACAGUUUUUAGGACACUUCUCUUCCCUUUACAACUUUUUUUUUCCUCACUGAUAAUGUAAACAGACAAAACCUAAAAUUUUUUGUUAGUUUGCUACUUCUAGAAUAGUCUUUCUUUAGUUUACUUAGGGAGAAAAGUCCUUCUUAAUAUUAUGGAGACUUCUCUACAAGAAAAUAGUUGUCUCAUGGCUCUUAGUUUCUACAAAUAGCAUCUGUGUGGGGAAAUUUGUAAUCAUGAAAUCUUUUUGGCAAGUUUUUCUCUUAGGUGUGUUUAUGGGCCAUGUCAUCUUGUGGGGUAUUGAUUUAAAGAUUGGUUGUUUAAAAGCAAAAGUUCUUAAUAUCUAUCUCUGAAAUUAUCUGCCUCUAGGAAUAGAGAUCUUUUCUUUCUUUGGAGUAUAGGAUCUUUAUCAUUCAUCUCUUCUUCUGUUCAAACUUCUUAUAGGAUUGUAGCUACUUUAACACUUGGUUUUUGCUCAAUAUCUACAAUUUGAACUCUUCCAUUUCUUCAUACUUUUAAGUGUUAAAGGUGAAAAAGAGUCCUUUUCUACAGUUUUACAAGAGAAUUUUAGCCUAAAACUAAAGGCAUUUCUUUGUCUUUCUUAUUUGGGACUUGACUUCUUCAUCGACUUUGAUGUUUUUAUGUUGUUUCUUUAUGUGUCUGUCAAUUCCCAAAGCCAAGCACUGACUGGAUUCCUAUCAGACACGGAGGAAAUUGCCAGCAGCCUCUCCUAAAACACCACUUCUGUGAUGCAAAACCAGCACAUUACCAGAACCUUCCCUUUGCUGAGACACAACGCUGGCAGCUGGGAGAGCAGUGCCACAGACAGAAAGUGCAUGUUAAGUGUCACACAACCACGUGUCUCAGCUCUAGAAAGUCUAGUCUACACAACACUUAAACACUCUGACAUAUUUGGUUGUCUUUUCUUUAGUCCUUUAGAAAUUGGUGGUUGCCAAGGUCUGAAGGGUUUUCUUCUGACUGACACUCCACAUCCAAGUAUGGAUGAAACAUUUUAUAACUUUCUAGCCCAAUGUAUCAAUAAAGCACACUAACACUCCAACAGUUACUUGGGUUUGGUUAUCUGGUGGUCACAGCAGGGCUGCUUUGAGCCUGGCCUUCACAGUUUUACCAGGUACACCGCUCACAUCACACAGGGUCUUUCUGUCAAAACCAGGUGGUCAGAGGAGUAGCAGUCCUUUAGAAACUGACUGAACAAGAUCAGGGAAAGAAAAUGUCAUGGUACCUCCUCACAAUAAAGGAAGAGCCAAACCUGGGGGUUAAAUGACUCUUCAGGACAGCUCCCAAAUACAAUUACUUAUAUUCUUCCCUCAGACCUCUGUUCUGGCCACUACCAAAAGGACAGUGGACUAGAUUUAUCUUUUGCUUAGCUGGUACAACUACUGUGGCUUUUUAAAGAUGUUUUAAGACCUCAGAUCACUUUUUAAACGACUUAAUGGGGGAGAAGAUGGCUAUUAUCUGAUGUACAUAGGAUAGAUACAGUAGGAAUAAAGGGAGGCAUACAUUUACGAGCUGUCAAUGAUGACAGCACAAAGUCAUAACUUGAUCUUCUAGCAACACAAGGGGUGACUUCACACUUAAAGGGCUUUGCCAUAGAAACACACCCAAAGCCUGCCCCCACCAAAAGGGCUGAAAUAGGCUGAAUUAUCCAGAGGAUAAAGGGUUUAAGUAUACCAUCUGGCUUUUUUUCUGAUUAUGUCUGUAAUUCUGACAGUGUUUAUUAAUGACUUGGAAAGAAAAUAAACUACUGAGGAGGCACGACUGCCACCACUAGCCCAAGCCACCAAGCAGGAGUCCCUCUGCAGACAAGUCUUCAACAUUACUUUUCACAAAGCUUACCCUUGUUUUUGCAGUAUUUCCAGACAUAGAACAAACAGAUCUCAUCACAGUUAACUUUUUUGUUGUCCUUCGAAGCUUCAUCAGAGGAGCUGUCCUUUUUACCUACAGCAAAGAACAUCACAAUCCAUAUUUGCUUUAAGAGAAAGAUCCUGCAUUUGGUACUUCAUCCCAGAAAUAACAAGGAUUUGACUGCAGUAGGAAAGUCAAGCACUUUAAGGAUCUCACUAUCUCCCAUACAGCCCAACACAGAAGUCAGGGCUUCGUGACUGAACAAUAAACCCUAACACUGGAAGGAGUGAGGAAGUCUCAGUGAGGAAGGGCAAGGGCAGUGUCAGGAAGCUCAGAACAACACAGGGUGUGACUGACCAUGGCUCUUGCAAAGAAGCUGACUUUGUCUCCAGACCAAGGGGACCAGAGGGUUCACAGAAGUCAAUGGCAGCUGAGCUGACUGACUGGGAGUAGAAAUGUUUCUCUCAGAGUCAGCCAGACCAGCAUGGGUGUAGUGAACACAGAGCUCAGCCCCACGCAGAGGUAUUAAACCUAAACAACCAACCAAAGAAUUUUGAAAACAGCAAAUGACUUGAGCUGGCUUCUACUUCCCCAGGGACUGGGGACACCCAGUGAGUAUAUAUUGAGGCAGUGAGUAUAUUUACAGAUCUGCAAUGGGAAGCCCAUUAUUGUGAUUAAACUGUGCGCUGUAAUUACUCUGUUUUAAAAGUCAGCAUUUGUAUUUUGUUUACAGUGGACUUUGCAUCACUUUGCUACAUCAGAAAUGCCACUGUACUUGGCAUGGGUAGAAUAAGAUGUAAUUUUCUUCAUAGCAACCCAUAUGAUGCUGUUUUAGAUUUUUGACCAAAACAAUGCUAUUAACACACUCAUGCCCCAGCUUCUGCUGAACAGUGAUAUGCAUCAAGGCCUCAGUUUUUCACCAUGGAUUUCAGCACACAGCAAGGCACACACAUCAGCUGCUCUCAACUACCACUGCGAGCUGUCAGGCUGUGUGAAAUCAAGGCCAAAUGAAAACCACUGGUCUCAAGACUGGAGGGUGAGAAACAAUCCAUACCUUUAUCUUUAUCUCCUGCUCCCUUUGGCAGCUGGUCUUGGCUCUGGGCAGGCACGGUGCUACUGGCACCUGUGUGAGAAAACUCAGUGAGCAGCACUGCAGGGCCACAAGCUCAGCUAGCUGGCAACAUCCCAGUCUCUGUGGAGAACUAUGUCCAUCACACAUGUGAUUUGAUAUGAAACACUACACUGUCCAUGUGUGGAAUAUCUAAAAGAACCUGUGCAGAGAGUACUGGACUCUGACAAGCUUUAAUGCCAAGGUCCUUCUGCCCAGAAGAACAAGAGAAUUACAGGUUGCUAUUCACUCACUGGAAGGUGUAUGGAGACAACAGUUCUACUGACAAAGCCAUAUUCAUUGCCUAGAAACAGUAGGCAGGGAAAGAUACUGCAUGCACAGAUACAAUUCUUUCACUUUCCUAGGAAGGGAAAAAACGUGUCCAGGACAUAGAGAGUGCUGCACAAUGCCUGGGCAGAAAUUCCAACACUGCUCCACUGGCCAUCUGGUACCAUGGAUGUCAGCACACAGCAAGGCACACACAUCAGCUGCUCUCAACUACCACUGCGAGCUGUCAGGCUGUGUGAAAUCAAGGCCCAAUGAAAACCACUGGUCUCAAGACUGGAGGGUGAGAAACAAUCCAUACCUUUAUCUCCCGCUCCCUUUGGCAGCUGGUCUUGGCUCUGGGCAGGCACAGUGCUACUGGCACCUGUGUGAGAAAACUGAAUGAGCAGCACUGCAGGGCCACAAGCUCAGCUAGCUGGCAACAUCCCAGACACUGUGGAGAACUAUGUCCAUCCCACGUGUGAUUUGAUAUGAAACACUACACUGUCCAUGUGUGGAGGAUCUAAAAGAACCUGUGCAGAGAGUACUGGACUCUGACAAGCUCUAAUGACAAGGUCCUUCUGCCCAGAAGAACAAGAGAUUUACAAGUUGCUAUUUACUCACUGGAAGGAAUAUCAAGACAACACCUCUCCUGACAAAGCUGUAUUAAUUCCCUAAAGACAGAAGGCAAGAAAGGAUACUGCAUGCACAGAUACAAUUCUGUCAUCUUGCUAGGAAGGAGAAAGGACAUACAGAGGGUGAGAAACAAUCCAUACCUUUAUCUUUAUCUCCUGCUCCCUUUGGCAACUGGUCUUGGCUCUGGGCAGGCACGGUGCUACUGGCACCUGUGUGAGAAAACUCAGUGAGCAGCACUGCAGGGCCACAAGCUCAGCUAGCUGGCAACAUCCCAGUCUCUGUGGAGAACUAUGUCCAUCACACAUGUGAUUUUCCACUAGCACUCCACUGCUGAUACAACAGAGGUGCAAUUACAGUUACAAACCCUAGCUAGUCACCGUUAUUGCCAGCCACUCAAUUGCUCUUUUGAAUGCAGUACUUCAGGCAAUAAAAGUGCAGUAUUCCCUCCCACA
This is a long non-coding RNA of Passer domesticus (house sparrow), 10361 nucleotides long. RefSeq lists it as uncharacterized. The record is from RefSeq and is a predicted model, not a curated record. NCBI's taxonomy places the organism in Eukaryota, Metazoa, Chordata, Aves, Passeriformes, Passeridae. The transcript has 2 exons.